CAAUAGCGUAUAUUAAAGUUGUUGCAGUUAAAAAGCUCGUAGUUGAAUUUUUGCUUGCCGCCGAUGUCGGAACUUCCGUACGUUCGGCGGCGUGCAUCCUUGGGUGGAACCUGUGUGGCAUUAGGUUGUCGUGCAGGGGAUGCUCAUCGUUUACUGUGAAAAAAUUAGAGUGUUCAAAGCAGGCUUACGCCGUUGAAUAUAUUAGCAUGGAAUAAUAAGAUAGGACCUUGGUACUAUUUUGUUGGUUUGCGCACCGAUGUAAUGAUUAACAGGGACAGUUGGGGGUAUUCGUAUUCCAUUGUCAGAGGUGAAAUUCUUGGAUUUCUGGAAGACGAACUACUGCGAAAGCAUUUACCAAGGAUGUUUNCAUUA
RNAcentral lists this ribosomal RNA (372 nucleotides) under uncultured eukaryote. RNAcentral describes it as "partial 18S ribosomal RNA". It matches the Rfam family "Eukaryotic small subunit ribosomal RNA", at positions 592 to 975 of the family's 1831-position model. The record is from RNAcentral.